Long non-coding RNA from Neopelma chrysocephalum (saffron-crested tyrant-manakin), 327 nucleotides. RefSeq lists it as uncharacterized. The transcript has 3 exons. The record is from RefSeq and is a predicted model, not a curated record. Lineage: Eukaryota; Metazoa; Chordata; Aves; Passeriformes; Pipridae.
CAGCGAGCCCCACAAGUGAAUCAUAAACACUUGCAUUCUGCAGAUGACUCUUCCACUGGGACGGGAUCAGAUCUACCCCUAAUGGAUGUAUUUGCUGUGCAGAAAAUGAGACCUGGUGUCCUGAGAAUGUGCCAUAGCAUAUCAGGCUGAUAUCAGCUCAGUUGGAGAGUGGAAUGGUUCCAAAUUACCACAAUUUUGAGAUGAAAGUGCUGACAGCACAAGACAGAGAUCAGGAAGUGGUUAAGCUCCACCACACAGGACAACAUAAGGUCCAAGUUCUGGAAGAGCUUCUGUCAGAGCUAUAUCUAUUUUCAACAGUAGAUUAUC